Long non-coding RNA from Ailuropoda melanoleuca (giant panda), 1158 nucleotides. RefSeq lists it as uncharacterized. The record is from RefSeq and is a predicted model, not a curated record. Lineage: Eukaryota; Metazoa; Chordata; Mammalia; Carnivora; Ursidae. The transcript is spliced from 4 exons.
AGAGCGAGAGAGCGGAGGCCCCUGCGCUCCCCUGCCUCGGCCAGCAGGCUCUCCCAGCGGAGGCAUGCUGUCCUGACCGUGAGAGGUUCCUCCUGCGGUCUGUGUGACCCCCACCGUGAGUGAGCGGGAUAGACCCCGACCUUCCCUGGGGUCUUCCACUCCCCAUGCAGGGAGGGACUGUCUGGUAGCGGACGGGCACUACCCACAGACCCCAGGCUCGGGGGGAGCAGGAAACACUGCGACUCUGCGUCUUGCUGGGCAGCGUGCUGAGGCGGCCGGAGCAGCCCACGGCCGGCUGGCACAGCGCGUCUGAGCCCCGACCGGUGCCCGGCGACGGCGGGCGAGCGAGCUGCUCCUGGCUGUAGCAGACCUGGGCUUUCUUGGGCAGCCCACCCGAAGUGGCCCACCGCACAGCUGGGGUCCCAGGGGCCAGCUUUCCCCUGUGGAGGGCGAAACAGGCCGUUCGGACGCAGGCCAUGUGAUGGGGAGAAGGAUCCAGAAUCACAGGAGAACCUUGACGCCCUUGACUGCCCUUGAUGUGCCGGAGAGGGGCAGUUACAGAACCAGCUGCCGGGCCUCCUGGUAGACACCGUGUGGUUCUGUCCAUUGGAUCUCAACCUGGGAGCGGCCUUGAGAGGCAGCCACCCGUCCUGGCUCGUCGGUGCCCAGCAGCGGCUUCAGACCGUGCGCUCGAAAACCCAACUUCCUCCGGGAGGGCGGGGGCUCUGCCUCUCCCCUUGGCACCCCUGCUUCCCUGCCCGCACGGUGCUGAGGCACGGCUCAGAUUUUCUUGAUCAUUCGCUUAUUAGAAAGUAGGCCUGACGCAUGCUUGAUGUUCAGAAAUGUUUGUUGAAUGAAAUAGUGUUGCCCGAAGUUCGGUUUUUUUGUGGUUGGUUUGCAAUUAUUGGUUUUUGAUUGAGAUGGGUGUCAGUGAUGUUUGCAUUGAUGCUUUAAAUUAGCCUCCCCUGCCUGCUGGUGGCAGUCAGAGUUUUGUGGGCGCACUUGCUGGAUACAGAACGACACUGGCUGGACCCUUAGGGUGUUUGUGAUUCUUCGUCCAGACAGGUGAACGAACAAGGAUGGACAGUGAGGUCACAGACACUAGGUCUCCUGGGUGGGGCAUGUAAUUCUGUGAUGUGUGCCCCCGGCUGCCUCCAA